UGGGAGGCUGAUACACAAACUGGGCUGAAGCAGUGCUCUGAUUGUCAUCACUCUACCUCUCUAGAACACUGACUUUCAGUGACUGGCAUGAAUUGAGUAAAAUCUUAAUGGAUGGGCAGGUUUUU
Sorex araneus (European shrew) is the source of this 125-nucleotide small nucleolar RNA. The record is from Ensembl. Lineage: Eukaryota; Metazoa; Chordata; Mammalia; Eulipotyphla; Soricidae.